This 687-nucleotide long non-coding RNA is filed under the name Phasianus colchicus (ring-necked pheasant). RNAcentral's name for it is "lncRNA (ENSPCLG00000017155.1)". Lineage: Eukaryota; Metazoa; Chordata; Aves; Galliformes; Phasianidae. The record is from RNAcentral.
CAUAAAACUCCCAUCUGCAAGGCCCUCGUGCAAACACAACUCUUGUGCGGGUCCCUCGUGCAAAGAUCUUCUGCAAGCGCAACAACGUGAGACUCUCUAGUGCAAAUCCCUUGAGCAAACCCAACCCCAGACUCCCUCGUGCAAAUCCCUCGUGCAAACACAACUCCCUCACGCCCUCACACCCCAGUCUCGUGAGACCCCCUCCUGCAAAUCCCUGGUGCAAAUCCCUCGUGCAAACACAACACCAGCCCUUACAACCCAGCCUCGUGAGACUCCGCCCUCGUGCAAACGCAACCCUUUGCGACUCCCUGGUGCAAAUCCCUCGUGCAAACACCACCACCCCCCCGCCGUGCGCUCACCUUGAAGCGGCGUGCGAGGAACUUGUUCUUCAUCUCCAGGAAGUUCCCUUUGGACGCCUCGCCCUUGAAGGGCUCGUUGAUCACCCCGAAGGCGCCGUCGUUCUGGAUGUCCGUCCAGCGCGCGUAGCCGUGGCUGAGCGCUAAGGGCUGCCACCGGCACCAGGGGGCGCCACUGGGGCACCAUUGGGGCACUACUGGGGCACGAGUGGGCACCACUGGGGCACUACUGGGGCACUACUAUGUCACCACUGCGUCGUUGGGUCGCCAUUGGGCACCACUGGGGCACUAUUGGGCACUAUUGGGCACCACUGGGGCACUACUGGAGCAC